Molecule: long non-coding RNA, 1211 nt
Filed under: Musa acuminata (dwarf banana)
Lineage: Eukaryota; Viridiplantae; Streptophyta; Magnoliopsida; Zingiberales; Musaceae
Description: long non-coding RNA (MACU_LNC007250)
Source: RNAcentral
UCUUCUCCAUCAACCCUGCCGCCUACUCCACUGAGUAGCAAAGGUACAGCACCGCAUACUGCCUACUUCGUUCCUUGGUUAUGCACUCUUGCAUGACCCGAAGUCCUUCACUUUCGGCUAUCUUGAUGAGAAGCUCAUUGACACCGAUCUUACGAAGUUCCUCGGCCUCUAUCCUUCAGCCUUGUCUCGAUACUUGGAGAUUGCCUCUGCAUGCUCCACCUCCUCGACCCCUUUCACGACCAAGCGCUCUCCCUCCAUAAGAGCAAGGGAUCAAUGACUUUCACGGAAGUCCCACCUCUGCGGUACCAUGGCACUGCCUCAGUAGAUAUGCCUCUAUGGCACUCCUCCAAGUCCACCUCCAUUCUAACUGAUGCUUGAUUUUGGGUAGCUAAAUCCCUCUAGACUCGUCGUCGCUUCCUCGCCCCUUUCGACCCCUUGCUUCAACACCUCUAUGUUCUCCAAGCAGUCUGUUUGGUCGAUGGAAAGACAGACUACAACUCCCAUGCAUGGCUUCUGCCAUCACAUUGUAGGGUUUGCACCGAUUCUAUUCUCCUUAGCUUCCUUGGUAGCAACGUUUGCUUACUCGGCCUUGUCCUCUGACUUGCCGGGCUCCCUUAAGCGAAUAUGAGCUCUGGACCAGUCCAACUCUCCAGCUGCUUCGAUCAUACCUCUGUAUGAUCAAGUCCCCCCCAUGGAACUCACUGGUACUUGCAUUCGAACUUUUCCCUUGGUGGAACCCAGCCCCCUUAUGCUGAUGACCAAGGUUUUCAUCCGAUGCAAAAUUCGAUGCAUGCACGGAAGACCCGCCUCUGCGGUACCAUGGCCUUCACUCCUUGAAUCCAUAGCCCUUCUUGUCGUCGUGUUGUUCACCGAAGUGGAGCUUCCAGUAGCUCCCGAUCAUACCUCCAUAUGAUCUAGUCCCUCCCGGGAGUAAUUCUCUCAUAGGUUUGGUCACCUCUGGGAUUGUACCGUCUUCUCCAUCAACCCUGCCGCCUACUCCACUGAGUAGCAAAGGUACAACACCGCGUACUGCCUGCUUCGUUCCUUGGUUAUGCACUCUUGCAUGACCCGAAGUCCUUCACUUUCGGCUAUCUUGAUGAGAAGCACAUUGACACCGGUCUUACGAAGUUCCUCGGCCUCUACCCUUCAGCCUUGUCUCGGUACUUGGAGAUUGCCUCUGCAUGCUCCACCUCCUCGGCCCCUUUCACGAC